AUUCAGCUCACAGUGUGUAGUCGAUGGAGAUCCAGGAGUAUGUUCGAUGGGAUCCGUGGAAUUGCUCAGCUGGCCAGGUGCAGGCCUCUGUCUUCAGGGUGGACUGAUCUACUUUGCAGGUUACCCUACAUGUGCUGACUAGAUCUCCACUGACUUAAGUGGGAGUUUUGACUCCUCUCUCACACAGAUCACUCUCUCAUCCACCUGCAAUUGGAUGCUUUAAGGUGGAAGUUGAAUCCCUCUCAGUGUCCCAUGUCUCAUCUGAGCAUUUCAUAUUUGUUGGUGAGCAACAAAAACGUCAUGUGUUUGAGUACCUGUUCCAUUUGUACAGUCCUAGCUCUGGCAGGAACAGAACCCAUGCUCCCUGACAUUCACACCAUUUCAAGCUAGUAGAUAUCACACUUCCAAACUCAGUUAGUUGGAUCUUUAGAGUUUUUAUUGUCAGAAUUAUCUUCCAAUUUGAAGGUUCAUCAGAGUCUGUCAAGAUCAUACAGAAAACAACACCCAUGGAACUGUGUGAUGCUCCAGUGUUGCGUGUAGCUACUAAUUUAGCUGUAUUCCAUGGGUUGUCUUCUACGUGAUGCCUGAGCUUCAGCCUCUAAUUGCUCUAGAACAUAGUUCACGUGUGCAUGGAGAACAGCCUGUUGGAGGGUUCCCAUGGCCAAUGCUGUUCUGUGAUUCUGUGUCUCAGAAGGACUCUCUGAACUACACAAUAGUUCGUUUCCUUAAUGGAAUGCGUGAAUUUGUUUAAUGUAGCUCUUAACAGUUAGCCUGUCGUUGUAGGUGCUGAAUUACUUUCAGUCAUUUCUGGCAAUAAGGAGCUUUUUCAGGAAUGGUUGCAGUCAGUGGUUUCUUAAUGUGCAAAGUUAAGCUACACAGAAGAAAAAUCAGUAUGAAUAUCUCAAGACAGAUGAAGUAGUUUAUCAGCCUAACAUUGGUAGAGCUCUGAAGCAUGUUCUCAGAGGCAAGGUGUAGCUGUUCAGUGUGAUUUUUUUCUUAUCUGUAACCUCUUGGCUUCCAGUUUUGAUACUGGCAGGAUUACAGGGUCCUGGCUAUACAUAACUGACUGGUGCUGCCUGUCUGCUGUGUCCUAGCUCUGGAGAGUGAUUUCAUGCAUGCUGAGCCCCAGAUUUGGUAGGAGCUGAAAACUGGAAAUUGCUGCCUCUCUGAAACUACUGCUCUUCUUCAAGCUGUCAUGGCAGGGCGUAAUGCUUUGCCACACUAUCUGGGAGAUGCCAGUUGCUAUUUUUUUAAUUGUAAAAUAUUGGCUGGGCUAGUGUGCCAUAGGACACUUCUGGUCACGUGUCGACCUUAUGAAGAUGACUACCUGUAAAUUAAGUUUGGAGGUUUUCCAGGUGAAAACUGUCUAAUAUCUACAUUAGCUGACUAGUAUUUAGCUAGAUUAUAAACGAACAGAAGCUGAAGCAUUCUGGCAAUAUUUUCUUAUUCUAAGGAAAAGACUUCAGAAAAUAUUCCAACAAAUAAAACUUGAAAGCAUUAAUCUUUUAACAUAGAACUUAGAGAUACUUAUGGAUUAUAUUGGUAUUGCAGGUUAGAUAGUAGGAAAAACAAUUGAAAAACUGAGCUUAAAGCCUAAAUAUAUGCUGAUUAAAUAUAAAUAUAUGCUGAUCUCUUGAUUUUAAAAGUCCUGAUUGUUUCACGUCAGCAGUCUCACUUUUAUAUAAGCUAAUGCAUACUAAGUGUUUUUUUAAAUUUGACGUGUGUUAUAGUUGUUCUGUAAUGCUUUCAGUGUCUAUGAAAAUAGAUCAGUUGAUACAAAAAUAGAUCAUUGGAAUAGUGUGCUGCGUUUUGGCUUAAGCAGGUGUGAGGAACUAGUGUUGCUCCCAAGUUGCUGCAUGCAAAUGAAGGCCCCCUUCUUUCUUUUCUUAGACCUUGGUGCCUCAGUCCAGGCUUUCCCCCUUCCAGAUACUGAGCAGCAUCUGGAAAGGUCAGUGCUGCCCUAUUAGGAAAUGCCUAGAGGAGUAUUUUAGUGUUUUAUCUUUCUGAACUUGUUCACUUCUCUGAAGUAAAAACGUUAUCUAGCCAAUUCAUUUCUUAAGAAUUUGUUGUUGUUGUUUUGGUCCUCAGCAGCAAGAUGUAGGGGCUCUGACUUCCUGUGCGUAUGGGUGCUCUCAAUACUUUGCUGAUGCAAAUAGCCACUGUGAAGCACAGCUCUCUACAGUUCCUGUAGCUGACUGGUUUGCAACUUGUUGCUUUUCCUGGCACUCAAACCAGAGAAGAAAUGCAGGAAAAUGAGAUUACUCCUUUUUUUUUAUUUUACUAGGCUUGCUAUUAUUUUUACUACAUCUAUUUUUGCAUUCCUUUUAUUAAAUGAGGUAAAAUGGUUUUCCAUUUUCAGUCAGAAAGAGGGAAAGGUAAAAGUAACUCUUUAAUCCAAUUAAUGUAUUUUCCUGCUUUGAUUCAUUGUAAUGACUUUGAGCAUCUGGUAGCAAUGAGCAUGAACUGCUUAAAGUCACGGAAAACCAAUCCCCAUUAUUUCUGCUCAUUGAAGAGAAUAAAUGAAUUACCAAACACUAAUCUUUGGAUAAUUGCUCUAUAAGCAGGACAUCUUAGGUCUUAGAGAAAUUAGUUUUGUAAGUUUAUAGAACUGUCAGAACUAGUGAACUAUUAAAAGGUUAACAAAAGAUGAGUAGAAGCUGGGCUUUCUUUUUUGUUCAUAAUUAUUGCAGUUGAACCUUUUGGGAUGUGUUUAAGGACAUACUUAUUGACCAAAGUUGAACUGAAGAUGGAAACUUCUGUGGACAUUUCUGACAGCAAAAAGCUAGAACAUAUGUGGAAUAAGAUACAGGUACCUGAAAGUCAUGUUCCUUGUAUCUGCUGGAUGACACUUUGCCUUUGGAGAGCAGUCUCAGGAUGCUAGGAGACAUUAUUCACAGCUUGUAUAUUCACAGCUCCUACUCAGUAGCCCAGAGCUACCUUUGCUGCUUGGACCUUGAUGAAGUCUUUUUAUGUCUAGGAGCAAACUUCUCCCCUCCUCACAGCCACAAACUAAUUAGAUUUAAAAAAAAAAUAAUAAACAACCUCAAAUCCACCUUAAAAUAAAAAACAAAACUCUUAUCAGGUCUUCCUGGUGACUUAUUAUUAAAAGUUAAGGAUGUUUGCAGGAUAAUUGAAGAGUAAUUUAAGUGCUUCCUGGAUCUUUCCAACCUGAUGAGUAUUUUCUGUCUCUGUAGAUUAUUGUUAUAGGAAUUUUAUGCUUUCUUUUUUCGGGGGGGGAGGGCUAUGGAAAUACGUAUUUGCCUCUGUCGAAUUGCUAUUUUGCUGUUGAUCUUUUCAAAUUAUACGAUAUGUUCCUUCUGAUUUUAUUACAUUUUGUAUAUUAGGACUUCUAUUACAUUACAUCUUUGAUUAAAAUUCCACAGGGAUUCUGGCAAAGGGAUGACAACAUCCUGGUUAACUCAGAUUAAAUACUCUGGAAGUAAUUGUCCCAUGCAGUAUGUUUCUGCCUGUUAAUGAGAACUCUACGUCUUUCCUGUAGACAGCCUUUUCAUUGUGGGAUCUCUGCUUGAGACUUCCUCAAUUUGGAGAAUUCAGUUUUAUUUGAUCUCCUUUCACUUAUUUUAAUUACUGUCAAAAUAUCAGGAUAUAACAGACUUAACAUGUACACUGUUAUUAAUAUUCUGGAAGGACAAAGUGAUCCCAGUAAGUCAUGCUUUACUUCCAUUUUGAGUUGUUGCAGAAUUUCAUGCUAGUGUUGCUGUAAAUUCAUUUUCCAAGUCCCAUUAUGAAUAGUAGGAGGAAAAGCAUUCAAUAUUCACAACACUUCUUGAUGCGCAAACAAUUUUAACCAGUUAACAACAAAUGCUGCUUUACCCCUAAGGACUAUACCCUCCACAAUCCUAAACGCAGUCCAGUUGAGAUAUCCUCAGCUGGUCUGGCUGUGCUUUUAAAACCACUUUUCCUUAGAUCCAGCCACGCUCAGACCCUCAGCUGGGUGGAUGGGUGUUACAGCUGUUUUUAGUUACACACACUCUCUCUUUCUUAGUGUGCUGUGCAUAUUUGUCUCUCCUGAGGCAUAUUAUAGCAGGCACUUGCGCUCCCCUCCCUGGGAGCAAAGGGUGCUAAUGGCCCUGCAUGCCUCCCAAAGGCUACUGAGAAUGCUUGUGGUGAGCAGAAGAGGGCACAGAGGCUUCGGGAGCACUCCUCGAGAGUCAAGGAUCCACAGCUUGAUACAGACAAAGUAUGCAGGGUUGCGUGUUGCAGAUACUAGCUGUAAGUACAUAAUGUCUUUAUUUGGAAUACACAAACAAAACUGCUUCUUGCACGCAGGGACUUCUGUUUCUGAAUACACGCACAGACAUUUCUAGGAAGGUGUAAAAGCAGAGUCAAAUACAGCCUCCUAUUUUCAGAUUCCUGUUUCUGCCAUGACACAUCUCUGGUGUUACAUUCAUAAAACCUGUAGACAGUGGAAACUCUAUCAUUAAGAUAGGUCAGGCAUGGUAUUUGCCAUUGCAGAUACAAACUUUGAUGUUAAUAUUGGUUAGCAUCAUUGAUUCAUGAAAAUUAACCUCAUUCAAGACUGACUGGAAUAGACAUUCCUGUGGAUUUUGUCCACUUCGUGUGUUUUUAAAUCUAUGGCUCUCCUGCACUAUAUACAUGCAGUUGUCACGUUCAAAAAAGAAAAUGCCCCCCAUAUUUUCCUUGGGUUUAUAAGUGGUUUAACACUUGUCUUUCAUAGACCACUGCUAGUAGGAACUUGUUUGAUUUGGUAUUUCCUAGUGUCUUUUUAUUGCUAUUUUUUUGCUGACCAAGGGAACUUGGAGAUGGAAUUGCUUUAUACCUUUCUUGUGCACGUGUAAGAAUAAUUCUGGUGGCUAUAAAACAAUAUGGCUCAACUUCUGAAUUACACAAAGUUGCUGUACACUUAAGAACUUACGUAUAGAACUUAAGAGUUUUGUGUGUUUUGUUUUUAAUAAGCAACAAUACUUUUAUGGUAGAAUAGAGCAAUUGUUCAGCACCAUGGGUCUAAAUGUAGGUCCUGAAAUUGCAGUCUUUGACAUAAAAUAGCUACUUUCAUUGUCAGAAUGCACUGAAGUUCACAAAUGAAAUUAAACAUGGCACGGUAUAAAUGAGGGCACAGUAUAAAUGAGUCUGCUAUUCUUGUUGAUGCUGAGCUUUGCUUUACGAGUUCUUUCUCUAGUUACAAGGGUGAAGUUUUAUUGGGUACACAAACCAUUUGAACAGUUUGAUUCAUCUUUACUGUAGCUAUCAUAACUUCCUGCUGGUGUAUUGGAUAGAUGUUUUGCCUUUUAAUAUGUUCUGGGUUUUUGUUUAGAGACUAGGAAUUCUAUCAAAUUUUAAAAAUCAAGAACUCCUUUCAUGCAACUGUUCAUAUUAUUAAUAAAUCAAUACUAAUUCUACAACUUUUAUAUUACUGUGCAGGACAGAAAUCAGAUUGCUGGGAAGAACUUUCAUUCCCGUGCUCUGAGGCUUCCACAUCCUUCCGUGUUAAAAUGUUUGAGACAAAACCUGUUGUCAUCCAGAGUUUAACUUUUGAAUGCAAACUGAGAACACCAAAUCAUAAUAAGGUUUGGUAAUGUUUAGUGGCCAUGUCCAUCCCUGACCAUGUGAUUUGCUGUCUUUUUUGGAGGGCCUUGAAUUGUUGUGAUUAAUGAAUGGUUAAAUUCUACCAGUGUGCUUGGUGGCAUGACUGUGGUUGAGAAACAAAUUGUUUUAAACCUGAUUAUAAUUUUCUUUGUAUAAUUGAGUUAAACUUUUUGUUUUCAAGUUAGCAUUUUCAGUGGUAUGAGAACUCAUCCACAGAGAACCAGAAGCUUCUGACAGGAAUACGUAAAUCAACUAUGUAAUUUGCUGGCAGAUUAGAUGAUUAAAAUCAGUGUUUUGUUUAGUUAUCAGCUUGAGCCACUUGGGAGUGAACUAUAGAAUGUUUCAAUCAUCACUGAAAUGUCAAAAAACACGGUUGUUUUUGUUUGUAUUUGGUAGCUAUGGAGAAGAGUCUCACUGCAUGGAAACAUUCCACUAACUCAAUUUAUAAUGCUGUGCUUGCAUGGAGCCUCCAGCUAAUUGCCAGAAAGAUCUAUGAUCUUUCCUUGCAAGUGUCCUGGCAGCUCAUCUUAGAGGAAAUAGUCCUGUUUCACUCAGUCUUUUGCUGGCGUCUGUGUUCAUAGAAUCAGAGGAUAAUUAAGCCUGGAUAGGGUCUCUGGAGACCAUCUUGUUCAACCCCCACCUCAGGCAAGUCCAGUCAGGUCAGAUCCCUCAGGGCCUUGUCCAGUCAAGUUUGCAGAGGUUCCACUGUUGCUCUGGGCAGCACAUUCCAGUGUCUGACCUCCCUCCUGGUGAAAAAAAACCUGUGUUCUGUCAUGUCUCCUGCCUCUUGGCCUUUUGCAGUGCUCCCUGGAAAAGAGUCUGGUUCUGUUUUCUCUAUAUCCUAAAGCUCUCCCAACCUUUCUUCAUAUACCAAAUGGCUCAGUCCCUGGUUGUGUUGGUGGCCUUCUGCUGUACUCUCUCUAAUGUCACAGUUUUUGUUUUUGUUUUUUUUUUGUUCUGGGAAGUACAAAACCCAUCACAAGUCCAGAUGCAGCCAUAUGAAAGAAGCAUGCCCACUUCCCUCAAUCUCCUGGCAUUGCUUGAGCUAAUGCAGAACUUUUUUUUUCCCUGAAAGCCAGACUGCUGAAUCAGAUUCAACUCGUGCCUAUGAAGUCCCCUACAUCUCUUUUUGCAAGUCUGAUUUCCAAACAAUCUGCUUGCAGCCUAUACUGGUUCCUGUUGUUUUUUUUUUUCCCAUCCCAGGAGCAGGACUUUUCUGCCUUUAAACUCAUUCCUCUUGGCUUGUUUCUCAGCCUGUUAAGGUUCCUGCUCAUAGCAGCCCUGUCCUUCAGCAUGUCGUUCACUCCUUCCAAUAUAGUGGUGUCCCAACUCAGUGAGUGCAAAGUCUUUCUUUUCAUCUGUAUUCUCUCUUGUAAAACAAGGUGUAUGGCUUUACUGGUACACAGCACUGAAAGAGACUAUAACACUACACAUUGUGUGACUGGAUUGUGCACAAGCAAAAAGAAUAACAUGAAAAUAAUAGGUCACACUUCAAAUUGACGUAAGCCAAUGCUCUUUAUCCAAUACCAGUAAGUAAGAGAUACUUAGGAAGCUUAAAAUGUAUUUCUUCCUGUUGUAUGCUUUCUUCCCUUUUCAGUUUUAGGACUUGGCAAGACAGAGAAGCCCACCCUAUAUCAAUUGAUUUCUUUUUCAAAGACACUUAAUACGUUUUGGACUUCAGAACACUCAUUUGUAUUGGAUACACAGCUGAAAUGUUUCUCUACACACUAUAUUUUCUUGCCUCCUACAUGUGCUUUCUGAUAACUCUGGGAGUCCCAUACCAUUUGUAUGAUUUAUGAGAAAUAAAUGAAAGUUAAUAUUUACUUGUAUCCAUUCUGCGUGUGUGGUGUGCAUGUAUAUGUCAAAUAAAAUAUCUUACUGUGAUCACCUGAGUUUUCUGUUCCAAAGUGAGAAGUUCUGUCACUUUAGCCUCGAGUUGUUAAUAUACCAAACAGCAAGGGGACUCACAUUUUCUGGAUGUUGCUGGUAACUGCUCCCUGUAUGCUAAUGUGACCUCUUCUUGUUAAGCCAGUUAAUACUUCAGAAAGCUUUUUCUCUAAUCUUAUGGAAAAUUUGUUUUUAUAAGAACCUUUUGUGAUGGAUGAAUCUUUUGAUAGCUGGAAAAAAAAAAA
This is a non-coding RNA of Anas platyrhynchos (mallard), 7700 nucleotides long. The record is from RefSeq and is a predicted model, not a curated record. NCBI's taxonomy places the organism in Eukaryota, Metazoa, Chordata, Aves, Anseriformes, Anatidae.